This 1372-nucleotide ribosomal RNA is filed under the name uncultured bacterium. RNAcentral describes it as "bacterial SSU rRNA". It matches the Rfam family "Bacterial small subunit ribosomal RNA", at positions 28 to 1381 of the family's 1533-position model. The record is from RNAcentral.
GAUGAACGCUGGCGGCGUGCCUAAUACAUGCAAGUCGAGCGAACGGACGAGAAGCUUGCUUCUCUGAUGUUAGCGGCGGACGGGUGAGUAACACGUGGAUAACCUACCUAUAAGACUGGGAUAACUUCGGGAAACCGGAGCUAAUACCGGAUAAUGUUUUGAACCGCAUGGUUCAAAAGUGAAAGACGGUCUUGCUGUCACUUAUAGAUGGAUCCGCGCUGCAUUAGCUAGUUGGUAAGGUAACGGCUUACCAAGGCAACGAUGCAUAGCCGACCUGAGAGGGUGAUCGGCCACACUGGAACUGAGACACGGUCCAGACUCCUACGGGAGGCAGCAGUAGGGAAUCUUCCGCAAUGGGCGAAAGCCUGACGGAGCAACGCCGCGUGAGUGAUGAAGGUCUUCGGAUCGUAAAACUCUGUUAUUAGGGAAGAACAUAUGUGUAAGUAACUGUGCACAUCUUGACGGUACCUAAUCAGAAAGCCACGGCUAACUACGUGCCAGCAGCCGCGGUAAUACGUAGGUGGCAAGCGUUAUCCGGAAUUAUUGGGCGUAAAGCGCGCGUAGGCGGUUUUUUAAGUCUGAUGUGAAAGCCCACGGCUCAACCGUGGAGGGUCAUUGGAAACUGGAAAACUUGAGUGCAGAAGAGGAAAGUGGAAUUCCAUGUGUAGCGGUGAAAUGCGCAGAGAUAUGGAGGAACACCAGUGGCGAAGGCGACUUUCUGGUCUGUAACUGACGCUGAUGUGCGAAAGCGUGGGGAUCAAACAGGAUUAGAUACCCUGGUAGUCCACGCCGUAAACGAUGAGUGCUAAGUGUUAGGGGGUUUCCGCCCCUUAGUGCUGCAGCUAACGCAUUAAGCACUCCGCCUGGGGAGUACGACCGCAAGGUUGAAACUCAAAGGAAUUGACGGGGACCCGCACAAGCGGUGGAGCAUGUGGUUUAAUUCGAAGCAACGCGAAGAACCUUACCAAAUCUUGACAUCCUUUGACAACUCUAGAGAUAGAGCCUUCCCCUUCGGGGGACAAAGUGACAGGUGGUGCAUGGUUGUCGUCAGCUCGUGUCGUGAGAUGUUGGGUUAAGUCCCGCAACGAGCGCAACCCUUAAGCUUAGUUGCCAUCAUUAAGUUGGGCACUCUAAGUUGACUGCCGGUGACAAACCGGAGGAAGGUGGGGAUGACGUCAAAUCAUCAUGCCCCUUAUGAUUUGGGCUACACACGUGCUACAAUGGACAAUACAAAGGGCAGCGAAACCGCGAGGUCAAGCAAAUCCCAUAAAGUUGUUCUCAGUUCGGAUUGUAGUCUGCAACUCGACUACAUGAAGCUGGAAUCGCUAGUAAUCGUAGAUCAGCAUGCUACGGUGAAUACGUUCCCGGGUCU